UAAGACGUAGGAGACGAGCGUUGUCCGGAUUUACUGGGCGUAAAGCGCGCGCAGGCGGCCCCGCAGGUCGGUUGUGAAAGCCCCCGGCUCAACCGGGCGGAGGCGAGCGAAACCGCGGGGCUGGAGGCUGGCAGAGGGUGGUGGAAUUCCCGGUGUAGUGGUGAAAUGCGUAGAGAUCGGGAGGAACACCCGCGGCGAAGGCGGCCACCUGGACCAGGCCUGACGCUGAGGCGCGAAGGCCGGGGGAGCGAACGGGAUUAGAUACCCCGGUAGUCCCGGCAGUAAACGAUGUCGACUGGCCGUCGGGGGGCUCGACCCCUUCGGCGGCGGAGCUAACGCGGGAAGUCGACCGCCUGGGGAGUACGGCCGCAAGGCUA
RNAcentral lists this ribosomal RNA (377 nucleotides) under uncultured bacterium. Its description in RNAcentral is "bacterial SSU rRNA". It matches the Rfam family "Bacterial small subunit ribosomal RNA", at positions 521 to 896 of the family's 1533-position model. The record is from RNAcentral.